Molecule: long non-coding RNA, 270 nt
Filed under: Ananas comosus (pineapple)
Lineage: Eukaryota; Viridiplantae; Streptophyta; Magnoliopsida; Poales; Bromeliaceae
Description: long non-coding RNA (ACOM_LNC003160)
Source: RNAcentral
UUCAGCAAAAGCUUAUGAAAGUAGGCGCGCAUAUAGCAAAAGAAAAUUAAGGCUAAACAUUAAAAAAAACACACAGGUGUUAAGGAUUUUAUAGGUUGGCGAAUUUCGUAAAGUUGAAUGGAGUCUUGAAGAGUUGGUCGCGGAAGUUUGAAGAAAAGAUCCAAAUUGAAGAACAAAGACUCAUUCGGAAAGCUCGGCAUCUCAGAUAUGAAGAAUAGAUGAUUUAUGGUGAAGAUGUUUAAUUGUAAUAAGUUCAGAAGGCUUAGAUUG